AGGGCAAGUCUGGUGCCAGCAGCCGCGGUAAUUCCAGCUCCAAUAGCGUAUAUUAAAGUUGUUGCAGUUAAAAAGCUCGUAGUUGGACUUCAAGAAGCGCAUCUGGGCAACCAGUUUGCCUUCUACCAGCCCUAGGCUGUUACUGUGAGAAAAUUAGAGUGUUUCAAGCAGGCUUUUUGCAGGAAUACAUUAGCAUGGAAUAACGAAUGUGUCUACAAUUUGGUUGAUUGUAGGUUACAAUUAAUAGGGACAGUUGGGGCAUUAGUAUUUAAUAGUCAGAGGUGAAAUUCUUGGAUUUGUUAAAGACUAACGUAUGCGAAAGCAUUUGCCAAGGAUGUUUUCAUUAAUCAAGAACGAAAGAUAGGGGAUCAAAGACGAUCAGAUACCGUCGUAGUCCUAUCUAUAAACUAUGCCGACUAGGGAUUAGUGCGGUCAGUACCGCAUUAGUACCUUAUGAGAAAUCAAAGUCUUUGGGUUCCGGGGGG
Molecule: ribosomal RNA, 485 nt
Filed under: uncultured eukaryote
Lineage: Eukaryota
Description: SSU rRNA
Rfam family: Eukaryotic small subunit ribosomal RNA
Source: RNAcentral